UGCCCAGCUUGCUGGGUGGAUUAGUGGCGAACGGGUGAGUAACACGUGAGUAACCUGCCCUUAACUCUGGGAUAAGCCUGGGAAACUGGGUCUAAUACCGGAUAGGAGCGCCCACCGCAUGGUGGGUGUUGGAAAGAUUUAUCGGUUUUGGAUGGACUCGCGGCCUAUCAGCUUGUUGGUGAGGUAAUGGCUCACCAAGGCGACGACGGGUAGCCGGCCUGAGAGGGUGACCGGCCACACUGGGACUGAGACACGGCCCAGACUCCUACGGGAGGCAGCAGUGGGGAAUAUUGCACAAUGGGCGAAAGCCUGAUGCAGCGACGCCGCGUGAGGGAUGACGGCCUUCGGGUUGUAAACCUCUUUCAGUAGGGAAGAAGCGAAAGUGACGGUACCUGCAGAAGAAGCACCGGCUAACUACGUGCCAGCAGCCGCGGUAAUACGUAGGGUGCGAGCGUUAUCCGGAAUUAUUGGGCGUAAAGAGCUCGUAGGCGGUUUGUCGCGUCUGUCGUGAAAGUCCGGGGCUUAACCCCGGAUCUGCGGUGGGUACGGGCAGACUAGAGUGCAGUAGGGGAGACUGGAAUUCCUGGUGUAGCGGUGGAAUGCGCAGAUAU
RNAcentral lists this ribosomal RNA (611 nucleotides) under Micrococcus luteus. RNAcentral describes it as "bacterial SSU rRNA". It matches the Rfam family "Bacterial small subunit ribosomal RNA", at positions 72 to 697 of the family's 1533-position model. Lineage: Bacteria; Bacillati; Actinomycetota; Actinomycetes; Micrococcales; Micrococcaceae. The record is from RNAcentral.